UGUGAACUGCAGGACACAUGAACACCGAUACGUUGAACGCAUAUUGCGCAUCGGACGUUUAAACCCGACCGAUGCACACAUCCUUGAGUGCCUACCAAGUUAUCUAUAUCCUCUAACCAGACUGACUGUCCCAUCCCCGUGAUGGGCUGUCGCAGCAUGACGUGCUCGGACCCGCACCGACGGGACCUUGGGCGUUGAAAGGGAGAGUGCUAAUAGGAAGACAAAUGGUAUGGUACGCUUGGUGAGCGAUGAACGGGCGCGCGACAAGUCGCAACGGUUCGACCCUCAGUAUCAACCAGGGAUGAAACCCCCGCAGCCUUACGGAACAACACCAAAAGGCGCUAGCAAAGGGGUCCUUGGUGGCUCUGGAUCGUGUAACACUUGCGGCCCAACGCGUCCGUCGUCCUCGCCUAAUAAACGGGAAGCACUUCUCCAGUAGUGAUACUGAAACCGUAGGCCUCAAGUGAUGUGUGACAACCCCCUGAAUUUAAGCAUA
RNAcentral lists this ribosomal RNA (496 nucleotides) under Anopheles pretoriensis. RNAcentral's name for it is "eukaryotic LSU rRNA". The stretch from base 1 to 93 matches the Rfam family "5.8S ribosomal RNA", at positions 66 to 154 of the family's 154-position model. Lineage: Eukaryota; Metazoa; Arthropoda; Insecta; Diptera; Culicidae. The record is from RNAcentral.